RNAcentral lists this ribosomal RNA (253 nucleotides) under uncultured bacterium. RNAcentral describes it as "partial 16S ribosomal RNA". It matches the Rfam family "Bacterial small subunit ribosomal RNA", at positions 524 to 776 of the family's 1533-position model. The record is from RNAcentral.
UACGUAGGGUGCGAGCGUUGUCCGGAAUUAUUGGGCGUAAAGGGCUCGUAGGCGGUUUGUCACGUCGGGAGUGAAAACUCAGGGCUCAACCCUGAGCCUGCUUCCGAUACGGGCAGACUAGAGGUAUGCAGGGGAGAAUGGAAUUCCUGGUGUAGCGGUGAAAUGCGCAGAUAUCAGGAGGAACACCGGUGGCGAAGGCGGUUCUCUGGGCAUUACCUGACGCUGAGGAGCGAAAGUGUGGGGAGCGAACAGG